UGCCAGCAGCCGCGGUAAUACGGAGGGUGCGAGCGUUAAUCGGAAUUACUGGGCGUAAAGCGUACGUAGGCGGAUUGGAAAGUAGGGGGUGAAAUCCCAGGGCUCAACCCUGGAACUGCCUCCUAAACUAUCAGUCUAGAGUUCGAGAGAGGUGAGUGGAAUUCCAAGUGUAGAGGUGAAAUUCGUAGAUAUUUGGAGGAACACCAGUGGCGAAGGCGGCCCACUGGCUCGAUACUGACGCUGAGGUACGAAAGUGUGGGGAGCAAACAGGAUUAGAUA
Molecule: ribosomal RNA, 279 nt
Filed under: uncultured bacterium
Lineage: Bacteria
Description: partial 16S ribosomal RNA
Rfam family: Bacterial small subunit ribosomal RNA
Source: RNAcentral